Molecule: long non-coding RNA, 622 nt
Organism: Monopterus albus (swamp eel)
Lineage: Eukaryota; Metazoa; Chordata; Actinopteri; Synbranchiformes; Synbranchidae
Exons: 3
Source: RefSeq, a predicted model, not a curated record
GGUGGGAGUGUCGCCGGUAGCAGCUGCAGCAGCGCUUAGCAAUGACAGCAAGGCCCCACCAGAGACCCACAGUCCUAAGCACAUAGACCAUGAAAACGGUGUAAGGUCUGAUUCACCUCCGGCACAGACAUUGAAGUCUUCCUUUCGAGCCAUCCAUGACAGAUCCUCUCUGCCUUCCAGCGCCAGGAGUCCCCAAGACGCCACGCAACGAGUCCUCACUGCUCUGUCCUCGGCUUGAUCAAGAGAUUUUUUUUUCUUCUUCGUGCUUGAAUAAAAAAAGAAAAGGAAAGAAACAGAAAAAUAAGACUUUACACUCCUUUAAAAGGACAAAGAGAAAUAAUAAUGCAGCGUAGCAUUCAGUCGGUACAGAACAAAUGGCGUAAUUUGGUAAUAUCCUGUGGAUGGAUGGAUUACUUCCUCUAUUGUUGUGUAGCCUAUAAUCGCGCCUAUAUGUUACUCUCUUUCUCCCCACUUUGCCCAGACAGUUUGGGACCUUUUGGUAGGCUUUUUACUUUAUUAUUACUAUUAUUAUUAUUAUUGUCUCUAUCUUGUUUUGGUGUCCACUCUUUAAUGUAAAUACCAAGUGAUUUAAAUUUGUAAAUAGGAAGCGUUGAAGGAAUUU